Long non-coding RNA from Cydia strobilella, 321 nucleotides. RefSeq lists it as uncharacterized. Lineage: Eukaryota; Metazoa; Arthropoda; Insecta; Lepidoptera; Tortricidae. The transcript has 2 exons. The record is from RefSeq and is a predicted model, not a curated record.
AAAAAAAACAAUAAAUAUUGGGAUUCCCCAUACAUAGAACUGAAACUCAAAAAUUUUUUUUUCAUCAAACCCAUACGUGUGGAUAGGUCUUCAAAAAUGAUAUUGAGGUUUUUAAUAUAAUUUUUUUCUAAACUGAAUAGUUUGCGCGAGAGACACUUCCAAAGUGGUAAAAUGUGUGUCCCCCCCCACCCCUCCCUGUAACUUCUAAAAUAAGAGAAUGAUAAAACUAAAAAAAAAUAUGAUGUACAUUACCAUGCAAACUUCCACCGAAAAUUGGUUUGAACGAGAUCUAGUAAGUAGUUUUUUUUAAUACGUCAUAAA